Molecule: ribosomal RNA, 253 nt
Filed under: uncultured bacterium
Lineage: Bacteria
Description: partial 16S ribosomal RNA
Rfam family: Bacterial small subunit ribosomal RNA
Source: RNAcentral
UACGUAGGUGGCAAGCGUUGUCCGGAUUUACUGGGCGUAAAGAGCGCGCAGGCGGUCGUUCAAGUCGCGUGUGAAAGCCCCCGGCUCAACUGGGGAGGGUCACGCGAUACUGAUCGACUCGAAGGCAGGAGAGGGUAGUGGAAUUCCCGGUGUAGUGGUGAAAUGCGUAGAUAUCGGGAGGAACACCCAGGGGGAAACCAGUCGACUGGGCAUCUACUGACGCUGAGGUGCGAGAGCGUGGGGAGCGAACCGG